This is an RNA transcript of Vigna angularis (adzuki bean), 6334 nucleotides long. It is a transcript of the gene named E3 ubiquitin-protein ligase UPL3, with no coding region annotated. The record is from RefSeq and is a predicted model, not a curated record. The transcript is spliced from 18 exons. NCBI's taxonomy places the organism in Eukaryota, Viridiplantae, Streptophyta, Magnoliopsida, Fabales, Fabaceae.
CAUUUUAUUCUGUCCCUUUAUUCUUCCAUUUCUUUUUCUUUCUUCCUCUCUUACCCAUUUGCCUGGCUUAGGGUUUCCGGCAACAACCCUCUUUCGUCAUUACCUCAAAAUCUUUGUUUCCGUUGAUUACACUCCUCCGAAAUCUCACUCCACGCCUUGUUUGAAAACCGCGAAUCCCCUCAUCUGCAGUUUCUAGGGUUUCAAUUUGUGGAAGAUUCGUUCUACCGACAAAGAUUCGAUCCAUGGUAGGGAUUAUUGGGCGGAUGAAAGCGUGAUUGACGCUCGGUGGCGAGCGAGUUGAUAGACUGCGGGUUGGGUGGAUUUUGUAUGGAAACACGGAGCCGGAAGCGGGCGGAGGCUUCCUCAGCUGCCCCUUCAUCCCCUUCCUCUGGUCCCACUACCCGUUCCAGCAAGCGUGCGCGUCUCUCUUCUUCUUCCUCUGCUUCCGCCGCCGCAACCACCACCGCAUCUCUUUCUUCUGUUAACACUCGCUCCCGUGCAUCAAGAACUAAGGAACAACCCUUACCUCCGAAGAAUCCUCCUCCCAUGGACUCUGCCAAUGAAUCAUCUGGUUCCCGACGUGAUCGCCGCAGCAAGGACAACACCGACAAGGGUAAGGAAAAAGAACACGAUGUUAGGAUUAGGGACAGAGAUGCUGACAGAGGGCUGGCAUUGAACAUGGAUGGUGGUGCAGAAGAUGAUGAUAAUGACAGUGAAGGUGGUGUGGGGAUUUUGCAUCAAAAUUUGACCUCUGCGAGUAGUGCACUUCAGGGGCUGCUUCGGAAGCUUGGUGCUGGGUUGGAUGAUCUGCUCCCAUCUUCUGCCAUGGGUUCUGCAUCUUCCUCUCACCAGAACGGGAGGCUGAAAAAGAUCCUUUUUGGGUUGCGAGCGGAGGGCGAAGAAGGGCGGCAGGUUGAAGCGCUGACGCAACUCUGUGAAAUGCUUUCAAUUGGGACUGAAGAAUCGCUUAGUACAUUCUCAGUUGAUUCGUUUGUUCCUGUGCUUGUGGGUUUGUUGAAUCACGAGAACAAUCCCGACAUCAUGCUUCUUGCUGCAAGAGCAUUAACCCAUCUCUGCGACGUGCUACCUUCAUCUUGUGCUGCGGUUGUUCAUUAUGGUGCAGUUUCAAUUUUCUGUGCGAGGUUGCUCACCAUAGAAUACAUGGACUUGGCUGAGCAGUCCCUUCAAGCUCUGAAGAAGAUAUCUCAGGAGCAUCCCACUGCCUGCCUACGAGCAGGUGCUCUUAUGGCCGUGCUUUCUUAUUUGGACUUCUUUUCUACAGGAGUUCAGCGGGUUGCAUUGUCUACUGCUGCAAAUAUGUGCAAGAAACUUCCUUCAGAUGCGUCUGAUUUUGUGAUGGAAGCUGUUCCUCUUCUCACAAACCUUCUUCAUUACCAUGAUGCCAAGGUUCUAGAGCAUGCCUCUGUUUGUUUGACUCGAAUAGCUGAAGCGUUUGCGUCAUCACCUGACAAAUUAGAUGAAUUGUGCAACCAUGGACUGGUAACACAAGCUGCCUCCCUCAUCUCUAACAGCAGUUCUGGAGGUGGUCAGGCUUCUCUCAGCACACCGACAUAUACGGGUUUAAUCCGACUUCUUUCAACUUGUGCGAGUGGAUCGCCUCUUGGAGCUAAAACUUUACUACUACUCGGAAUUAGUGGUAUUCUUAAAGAUAUUCUAUCUGGUUCUGGAGUUUCUUCUAAUGCCUCUGUUUCUCCUGCAUUAAGUAGGCCCCCGGAGCAGAUAUUUGAGAUUGUAAACCUGGCAAAUGAGCUUCUUCCCCCAUUGCCACAAGGAACAAUUUCUCUCCCUAUCAUCUCCAACAUGUUUAUGAAAGGGCCCAUUAUAAGGAAGUCUCCCGCUGGUAGCUCUGGGAAACAAGAAGAUUCAAAUGGAAAUGUUACUGAGAUAUCAGCCCGUGAGAAACUAUUAAAUGACCAGCCUGAACUUCUUAAGCAAUUUGCUAUGGAUCUUCUACCAGUUUUAAUACAGAUAUAUGGUUCUAGUGUCAAUGGUCCUGUUCGGCACAAAUGUCUUUCUGUCAUUGGAAAAUUGAUGUAUUUCAGCACAGCGGAGAUGAUCCAGUCUUUGUUGAGUGUGACCAAUAUAUCAAGUUUCUUAGCUGGGGUCCUCGCAUGGAAAGAUCCACAUGUGUUGAUUCCUGCCUUGAAAAUUGCUGAAAUUCUUAUGGAAAAGCUUCCUGGGACAUUCUCCAAGAUGUUCAUCAGAGAAGGUGUUGUGCAUGCAGUGGACCAACUUAUUUUACCCACAAAUUCAACCAAUAUCUCUACUCAGGCAUCUUCUGCUGAAAAGGAUAACGAUUCUAUAUCUGGAGCAUCAUCUCGCUCUAGGCGUUAUCGGCGACGCAGUGGAAGCUCCAAUCCUGAUGGUAAUCCUUUGGAUGAUUUGAAGGCUCCUGUUUCAGUGAAUGUCGGCUCACCUCCAAGUUCUGUGGAUAUUCCAACAGUAAAUUCCAGUAUUCGCAUGUCUGUUAGUGCAGCCGCAAAGGCUUUUAAAGAUAAGUACUUUCCUUCGGAUGCUGGGGCGUCUGAAGUGGGUAUUACUGAUGAUCUUUUGAAUCUGAAAAAUCUUUGCAUGAAGCUAAAUACAGAUGCGAAUGAAGAAAGGACCAGUGGAAAGGGGAAAUCUAAAUCUUCUGGAUUUGUUCUAGAAGAGUAUUUAAUUGGGGUCAUAGCUGACAUGCUAAAGGAACUUGGCAAAGGUGAUGGUGUAUCUACAUUUGAAUUUAUUGGUAGUGGUGUUGUUGCAGCUUUGUUGAAUUAUUUUUCCUGUGGGUACUUCUCUAAAGAUAAAUCCUUAGAAACCUUCUUACCAAACCUUCGCCAGCAAGCACUUACAAGGUUUAAGUUAUUUAUAGCUGUUGCACUACCUCCCUCAACUGAAGUUGGGACUGUGCCUCCUAUGACCGUCUUGGUUCAAAAGCUUCAAAAUGCCUUGUCCUCAUUGGAACGUUUCCCUGUUGUGCUGAGUCAUUCAUCCAGGUCAUCUAGUGGGAGUACACGCCUCUCCUCUGGACUAAGUGCAUUAUCUCAUCCCUUCAAGUUGCGGCUUUGUCGAGCCCAGGGUGAAAAGUCACUUAAGGAUUAUUCAUCAAAUGUUGUAUUGGUUGACCCAUUAGCAAGUUUAGCAGCCAUUGAAGAAUUUCUUUGGUCUCGUAUCCAACGAAGUGAAUCUGGUCAGAAGUCCACUGUACCUGCUGGUCAUUCUGAAUCAACUCCAGGAGCUGGUGUAUCCACUCCUUCCACUACCCGUCGUCAUUCUACUAGAUCCAGAUCAUCUGUUGAUAUAGGUGACACAUCUAGAAAGCAAGUACUUCAAGAUAAAAGCACUAGCUCUUCUAAGAGUAAGGGAAAAGCUGUAUUAAAGCCUGCGCAAGAGGAGUCAAGAGGACCUCAGACCAGGAAUGCUACUCGCAGAAGAGCAGCUCUUGAUAAAGAUGCUCAAGCAAAACCUGUAAAUGGUGACUCUACUUCUGAGGAUGAAGAUUUGGAUAUAUCUCCUGUUGAGAUUGAUGAGGCAUUGGUGAUUGAAGAUGAUGAUAUUUCUGAUGAUGAAGAUGAUGACCAUGAAGAUGUUCUGAGGGAUGAUUCUCUUCCUUUGGUGUGCUCUCCUGACAAAGUACAUGAUGUGAAAUUGGGUGAUCUGGCUGAGGAAAGUACUGUUGCUCCUGCGACAACUGAUGGCCAGACUAAUGCUGCUUCAGGUUCUAGCAGCAAAACUGGUACCGUGAGGGGAUCAGACUCUACUGAUUUUAGGAGUGGCUAUACAUCAAGCUCAAGAGGUGCAAUGUCAUUUGCUGCUGCUGCCAUGGCUGGACUUGGAUCUGCCAAUAACAGAGGUUUAAGGGGGGGAAGAGAUCGACUAGGGCGUCCAUUAUUUGGUAGUUCUAAUGAUCCUCCAAAGUUGAUCUUUACCGCUGGUGGGAAGCUGCUUAAUAGGCAUUUGACUAUAUAUCAGGCAAUUCAAAGACAGCUUGUGCAUGAUGAAGAUGAUGACGAGAGAUUGGCUGGCAGUAAUGACUAUGUAUCCGGUGAUGGAAGCAGGUUGUGGGGUGAUAUUUAUACUAUAACUUAUCAGAGGUCAGAGAACCAAACAGAUAGGACUACCCCUGGAGGUUCAAGCUCUAAUGCUUCCAAAUCUGGCAAAUCUGGAUCUGCAUCAAAUUCUGGUUCUGAAGCCAAGCUACAUCAGACAUCUGUAUUAGAUAGCAUCUUGCAGGGUGAAUUGCCCUGUGAAUUGGAGAAAUCUAAUCCUACAUACAAUAUAUUAGCACUAUUGCGGGUGCUGGAGGGUUUGAACCAACUUGCCCCUCGAUUGAGGGCCCAAGUGGUUACCGAUAACUUUGCAGAGGGUAAGAUUUUGGAUUUAGAUGAGCUAAGUGUUAGCAUUGGUGCUAGGGUUCCUGCAGAGGAAUUUAUAAGCGGCAAACUUACUCCAAAAUUAGCUAGGCAAAUACAAGAUGCCCUUGCCUUAUGUAGUGGGAGUCUUCCUUCAUGGUGUUACCAGCUAACUAAAGCAUGCCCUUUCUUGUUUCCUUUUGAGACCCGGAGACAGUACUUCUAUUCAACUGCCUUUGGGUUAUCUCGUGCACUGUAUCGUCUUCAACAGCAGCAGGGUGCUGAUGGUCAUGGAUCAACAAAUGAAAGAGAGAUCAGGGUUGGUAGAUUGCAGCGGCAAAAGGUUCGUGUAUCUCGAAACCGCAUUUUGGAUUCUGCUGCCAAAGUGAUGGAGUUGUAUUCUAGUCAAAAGGCAGUACUUGAAGUAGAAUAUUUUGGUGAAGUUGGCACUGGUCUGGGUCCCACCUUGGAGUUCUACACACUUCUCAGUCAUGACUUACAAAGAGUUGGACUUCGAAUGUGGAGAUCAGGUUCUUCAGAUAAAUAUUCAAUGGAAAUUGAUGGAAAUGAAAGGAAAAUGAAAAGUAGCGAUGGCUCUUCUGCUGGAGAUGGAGAACUUGUUCAGGCUCCUCUUGGGCUGUUUCCUCGACCAUGGCCUGCAAAUGCUGAUACAUCUGAGGGUACCCCAUUUUUUAGAGUUAUUGAAUAUUUCCGGCUAUUAGGUCGUGUAAUGGCUAAAGCUCUCCAAGAUGGACGCCUAUUGGAUUUACCACUGUCAGCGGCAUUUUAUAAGCUUGUUCUUGGUCAAGAUCUUGAUUUGCAUGACAUUCUUUUCGUUGAUGCUGAGCUUGGGAAAACUUUACAAGAGUUAAAUGCCCUUGUUUGCCGAAAACGAUAUCUCGAAUCUUUUGGUGGUUCCUAUACUGAUAAAAUUGGUAAUUUACAAUUUCGUGGGGCUCAAAUUGAAGAUCUCUGCUUUGACUUUACUCUUCCUGGUUAUCCAGAGUACAUCUUGAAACCUGGAGAUGAAAUUGUUGACAUCAAUAAUCUAGAGGAGUACAUAUCCAUGGUGGUCGAGGCAACUGUUAAGACUGGAAUCUUGCGUCAGAUGGAAGCAUUCAGGGCAGGGUUCAAUCAGGUUUUUGAAAUCUCAUCUUUGCAAAUUUUUACUCCCCAAGAACUGGAUUAUUUGCUUUGCGGCCGUAGAGAAUUGUGGAAGACUGAGACACUUGCUGAUCAUAUAAAAUUUGACCAUGGUUAUACUGCCAAGAGCCCAGCCAUAGUUAAUUUACUAGAAAUCAUGGGAGAAUUCACACCAGAACAGCAGCGAGCCUUCUGUCAAUUUGUUACUGGUGCACCUAGACUUCCACCUGGUGGACUGGCAGUUCUAAAUCCAAAACUAACAAUUGUGAGGAAGCUUUCGUCAAGUGCAGCUAAUGCUUCAUCUAAUGGGAACGGGCCUUCAGAAUUAGCAGAUGAUGACUUGCCCAGUGUGAUGACGUGUGCAAAUUACCUGAAACUUCCUCCUUAUUCUACCAAGGAAAUUAUGUUCAAGAAGCUACUCUAUGCAAUCAAUGAAGGCCAGGGAUCCUUUGAUUUAUCAUGACCUUCCGGAACUAACCUACCCGACCCUGCAUGUUAAUAUGGCAAACCAGGGUUAAUCUCGAGGCUUAAUUAUUUUUUUGGUUGCGUGUACUUUCCUCCUUGCUUCUCAAAUAAUGGCUUCAGUUGGGUCACGCACGUCAAAGGUGGGAAUGGUUUGGUUGAAUUGGAUUGCCUCAUUUUCAAGGUGUAAAGGGAUUUGCGGAGCUCGUUUUAGCUGUUCAACAUGUAAAUAGAAUAGGAAUAUUGAGUAAUUACCCUCCUAAAUUUUUCAUCAUUCUGUUUCCAAGUCAAAAUUAUUGGCAGCUAGUUAUAUACAUGUAUGGAAGAUGGUAAAAGGAAUAGAAAUAUCAAAUACUAUGCUUUAUGAUUUGACA